This 501-nucleotide ribosomal RNA is filed under the name Peptoniphilus sp. oral taxon 386. RNAcentral's name for it is "bacterial SSU rRNA". It matches the Rfam family "Bacterial small subunit ribosomal RNA", at positions 378 to 901 of the family's 1533-position model. Lineage: Bacteria; Bacillati; Bacillota; Tissierellia; Tissierellales; Peptoniphilaceae. The record is from RNAcentral.
GAACCCUGAUGCAGCGACUCCGCGUGAGCGAAGAAGGUUUUCGAUCGUAAAGCUCUGUCCUAUGGGAAGAUAAUGACGGUACCAUAGGAGGAAGCCCCGGCUAACUACGUGCCAGCAGCCGCGGUAAUACGUAGGGGGCUAGCGUUGUCCGGAAUCACUGGGCGUAAAGGGUUCGCAGGCGGAAAAGCAAGUCAGGUGUGAAAGGCGAGGGCUUAACCCUCGUAAGCAUUUGAAACUGUUUUUCUUGAGAUGUGGAGAGGUAAGUGGAAUUCCUAGUGUAGCGGUGAAAUGCGUAGAUAUUAGGAGGAAUACCGGUGGCGAAGGCGACUUACUGGACACAAACUGACGCUGAGGAACGAAAGCGUGGGGAGCAAAACAGGAUUAGAUACCCCUGGUAGUCCACGCUGUAAAACGAUGAGUGCUAGGUGUCGGGAGUAUCUCGGUGCCGCAGUAAACACAAUAAGCACUCCGCCUGGGGAGUACGUACGCAAGUAUGAAACU